RNAcentral lists this ribosomal RNA (255 nucleotides) under uncultured soil bacterium. Its description in RNAcentral is "partial 16S ribosomal RNA". It matches the Rfam family "Bacterial small subunit ribosomal RNA", at positions 26 to 285 of the family's 1533-position model. The record is from RNAcentral.
AGGACGAACGCUGGCGGCGUGCUUAACACAUGCAAGUCGAACGAUGAAGCCCUUCGGGGUGGAUUAGUGGCGAACGGGUGAGUAACACGUGGGCAAUCUGCCCUUCACUCUGGGACAAGCCCUGGAAACGGGGUCUAAUACCGGAUAACACUCUGUCCCGCAUGGGACGGGGUUAAAAGCUCCGGCGGUGAAGGAUGAGCCCGCGGCCUAUCAGCUUGUUGGUGGGGUAAUGGCCUACCAAGGCGACGACGGGUA